This 473-nucleotide ribosomal RNA is filed under the name Philarius minor. Its description in RNAcentral is "partial 16S ribosomal RNA". It matches the Rfam family "Bacterial large subunit ribosomal RNA", at positions 1925 to 2606 of the family's 2925-position model. Lineage: Eukaryota; Metazoa; Arthropoda; Malacostraca; Decapoda; Palaemonidae. The record is from RNAcentral.
AAAGGGCCGCGGUAAUCUGACCGUGCGAAGGUAGCAUAAUCACUUGUCCCUUAAUUGGGGGCUGGAAUGAAUGGCUGGAUGAGGGAUCAAGUGUCUCUAUAUUUUAACUAAAAUUUUACUUUUAAGUGAAAAGGCUUAAAUUUUAUUAAGUGAAGAUAAGACCCUAUAAAACUUAUAUAAAAAUGAAUUACGUUGUUUUUAAUAUUGUCUAAAAUUGGGUGUUUCAGAUUAUAUUUUGCUGGGGCGGUAGUAAUAGAAUAAGUAUCUGUUGUUUUAAUAGGUUAGUUGUGAUUAAAAGAUGAGCCUUUUAUAAGGAUUAAAAGAUCAAGUUACUUUAGGGAUAACAGCGUGAUUCUCCUUGAGAGAUCUAAUCGACAGGAGUAGUUGCGACCUCGAUGUUGAAUUAAAAUUUUCUACAAAGUGCAGAAGUUUUGUUAGUGAGUCUGUUCGACUUUUAAAAUUUUACAUGAUUU